ACGGAAGGCAGCAGUGGGGAAUAUUGCACAAUGGGGGAAACCCUGAUGCAGCGAUGCCGCGUGAAGGAUGAAGGGUUUCGGCUCGUAAACUUUUAUCGAUAGUGAAGAAACAAAUGACGGUAACUAAGUAAGAAGCUCCGGCUAAAUACGUGCCAGCAGCCGCGGUAAUACGUAUGGAGCAAGCGUUAUCCGGAUUUACUGGGUGUAAAGGGAGCGUAGACGGCAAAGCAAGUCUGAAGUGAAAUCCCGGGGCUCAACCCCGGAACUGCUUUGGAAACUGUUUAGCUAGAGUGCAGGAGAGGUAAGCGGAAUUCCUAGUGUAGCGGUGAAAUGCGUAGAUAUUAGGAGGAACACCAGUGGCGAAGGCGGCUUACUGGACUGUAACUGACGUUGAGGCUCGAAAGCGUGGGGAGCAAACAGGAUUAGAUAUCCUGGUA
Molecule: ribosomal RNA, 437 nt
Filed under: uncultured Lachnospiraceae bacterium
Lineage: Bacteria; Bacillati; Bacillota; Clostridia; Lachnospirales; Lachnospiraceae
Description: bacterial SSU rRNA
Rfam family: Bacterial small subunit ribosomal RNA
Source: RNAcentral